CAUGUAGGCGGUUAUCUAAGCUUGGUGUGAAAGGCAGGGGCUCAACUCCUGGACUGCAUUGAGAACUGGAUAACUAGAGUUACUGAAGUGAAAUCAGAAUUCCAGGUGUAGGGGUGAAAUCUGUAGAUAUCUGGAAGAAUACCAAUGGCGAAGGCAGGUUUCAGGCAGAUAACUGACGCUGAGGUGCGAAGGUGGCGGGGAGCAAACA
This 208-nucleotide ribosomal RNA is filed under the name uncultured bacterium. Its description in RNAcentral is "partial 16S ribosomal RNA". It matches the Rfam family "Bacterial small subunit ribosomal RNA", at positions 568 to 774 of the family's 1533-position model. The record is from RNAcentral.